UAAUACGAAGGGAGCUAGCGUUAUUCGGAAUUACUGGGCGUAAAGAGCGUGUAGGCGGUUAAUUAAGUUAGUUGUUAAAUUCCUCGGCUUAACCGAGGGUCAGCAAUUGAUACUGAUUGACUAGAGGGCGAGAGAGAAAAGUGGAAUUCUCGGAGUAGCGGUAAAAUGCAUAGAUCUCGAGAGGAACACCGGUUGCGAAGGCGGCUUUUUGGCUCGUUUCUGACGCUAAAGCGCGAAAGCGUGGGGAGCAAACAGGAUUAGAUACCCUGGUAGUCCACGCCGUAAACGAUGAUCACUAGAUGUGAGUCUUGUUUUGCAAGAUUCGUGUCGUAGCUAACGCGUUAAGUGAUCCGCCUGGGGAGUACGGUCGCAAGAUUA
RNAcentral lists this ribosomal RNA (378 nucleotides) under uncultured Candidatus Babelota bacterium. RNAcentral's name for it is "bacterial SSU rRNA". It matches the Rfam family "Bacterial small subunit ribosomal RNA", at positions 521 to 896 of the family's 1533-position model. The record is from RNAcentral.